This 1219-nucleotide long non-coding RNA is filed under the name Monodelphis domestica (gray short-tailed opossum). Its description in RNAcentral is "lncRNA (ENSMODG00000042208.1)". Lineage: Eukaryota; Metazoa; Chordata; Mammalia; Didelphimorphia; Didelphidae. The record is from RNAcentral.
GUCCGCUCCAGCUUCCCUCGUUUUCUCCGUAAGGAAGACUGGCUGCUCCUGGGAGUAUAAGCCGAUUGCCGAGAAGAUGAGGAGGCCACGAGGGAGCACGCAGCUCCCCUUGCCGAACCCGGGCCGCCAAGGGCCCGGAGAGGGUCAGGGUUGGAGACUGAGGAGGACUGAGCCAAGGCUGGGACGUUCCUGUGGCCAGAGCGCCUGUCUCCAGGCCCGGAUCCAUCCACUGGGCCGCCCAGCCGCCCCAGCUCCACUUUCUGCUGUGGGUCACUCGUCUCGCCAACGGGCUGUGCCCGGGCCACUGCGGCCUGCACUGGUCCCUCCCCUCUCCUGGUGCGCUCCGCGGGCAGGCGUGUCCUGGGCUCUCCCAGAGGGUGGCGGCUCUGUUCGGUCCUGCUCUCGCCUCUGCUGGGCUUCACGGGGUUCGGGGCUGGCCGGGCCGGGGGUCAGGAUGGCGGCUGAUCUCCAGGCACCCCGAGCGCCCAGAAGAGAGGGGCCGCGGCUCUGCCUCCUGCUGGGGGGCUUCCAAACAGGCUACAGGCAGCCCAGCCCAGCCCACAUCUGGCAGGGAAGUCCUGCUGGGCGGCCUUGGGGGGGGUUCCUGGUGUCUCUCCGACCGCUGGGGCGUCCUCCAGAGCUUUCCACUGCCCAGGGCAGGAACAGCCCCGAGGCGCCCCCUGGCCAGGCAUCCGGAGGCCCUGCUGCUGCCCUCCUGGGGGGGGGGGACGGCCUGCCCUGGUUGCUCCCGGCUCCCAGCCUUGGGGGCCUCACCCUGACCCCCACUGCGGCUGGCCGGGGAGCCAGCUCAGGAGUUGGUCGGCUUUUCUCCUUCCGGGGGCCUCGUGAUAGGCCUCUCCCUCCUCCAAUCCCCAGAGCUGCUCCGCGGGCGGCAUUUUCCGAGGUCAGACUGAGCCCGGAGACACGGCUCUGCCCCGGGAGGCCCUGAGCAGCGGGAGCUCGGGAGCCCCCAGGCCAGAGCCCAGGCACUCUGGGCCCCCAAGAGCCGCAGCAGCUUCCCUGGAGAAAGGAGAGCGGCCAGCCAGGGAGGGACUGCCCAUCCGGACGCCUUGGCGGAUCAGCCUUCUAACCUAGCAGGGCCCCAGGCGGGCCCUGGGAGCUGGGGAGGCAGAGCUGACGCCAGGGGCCCCGAGUUCAAAUCCCACAUUUUCCUCUUUCUUUUCUGGAGCUCAGGAAGUCUGUUUCACUUCUGAAUUGU